AUGACAGGUGCAGCUGGUGGCUGUGUGGCUGCCUGCCGUGGCUGGGUGGCAAGGAGCCACGACAACGGCCUGACCAGCCUCGGAGCUCCCAGAAGCAAAGGGCUGCUGCGUGGGGAGCAGAGGACAAGCUCUGCUGGGGCUCGUCCUGCCGGCAGCGGCAGCCCUGGGAGCCAGGUGGAGGGAGCCAGGUGGAAGCCACGGCAGGGAGCCGCCUGUAGGAGAUGGUGGAGUAACAGGGCAAGUAAGGGCCUGUGGGUCUUAGAGAGGAGGCCGAGGGCUGCAGAGGAGAGGCCCAGAGUGGGGGGGUCCCCCCAGGCAGUCGCUCAGGCUUGUGCUGGAGGUGGCCAAGGCCACUUUGGGGAGUGCCUGGGCUCCUGCUUGGGUUGUCAGGGUGCAGGACAUGGGGUGAGGUUGAUGUGGGGUGACAGGUGGGGAUUUGGGGUCAGCAGGCAGAACUCGACCUCAUGGGGAAGGGCAAAGAGCAAGGCCGGGGUCCCCCAGAGGAGUGAGCACAAGCGCCAGGGCCAGCAGGGUCAAGGUCAAGAGCGCAGGGCAGGGGCCGGGCAGGAGGUGGACUGCAGGUGCAGGGAGGAUGGGCACAGGACAGGCAGGGGCCCCUGCUUCCAAGGCGCUUCCAGUGAGAAGAAGCCCCGCCCCCACCGGAUGGGAGGCUGGGGUGCCUCUGCCGCACGUGUGGACGGACGAAGGACGCGGGGGGCCCGGCUCCNNNNNNNNNNNNNNNNNNNNGUGUGGACGGACGAAGGACGCGGGGGCCCGGCUCCUUGCGAGGUCUGUUUGGACAAGGAACCCGGAAGACGGAGGCGGGCGGGUGGGGGUGGGGGGCUGCCGCUAUGGGAUGGAGUCUGGCUCGGAGGAACCGCCAGGGCUGCUUGGAAGCCUGUGGCUCUGUUUCCGCGGCUGGACAGUUUCAGAUGUGCUGAAGUGGCAGCCGUUCAAGGUCCCGACACCCGUGCGCUCAGCCCCGAGGACCCCCAGGCUCUGCAAGAGGCCAUCCAGCUCCGAGACCACAGCUGCCCGGGGAGGCGGGUGGCAGGCUUGCCUGGCAGGUGCAGAUGCCUUCCGGCUCUUUCUCGCAGAAUUACCAGGCUGCAGGCUCCGAGAGGGGCCUUUCCGGGUUCCAUCCAUCAGUACUUCUCCGUUAGGGCUGUUUAA
RNAcentral lists this long non-coding RNA (1173 nucleotides) under Neogale vison (American mink). RNAcentral describes it as "Neovison vison (American mink) lncRNA (ENSNVIG00000022478.1)". Lineage: Eukaryota; Metazoa; Chordata; Mammalia; Carnivora; Mustelidae. The record is from RNAcentral.